GUGCCAGCAGCCGCGGUAAUACGUAGGGAGCAAGCGUUGUCCGGAAUCAUUGGGCGUAAAGCGCGCGUAGGUGGCUUCGUAAGUCCGUUGUGAAAGUCAAAGGCUCAACCUUUGAAAGCCGAUGGAUACUGCGGAGCUAGAGUACGGAAGAGGCGAGUGGAAUUCCUGGUGUAGCGGUGGAAUGCGCAGAUAUCAGGAGGAACACCAAUAGCGAAGGCAGCUCGCUGGGACGUUACUGACACUGAGGCGCGAAAGCGUGGGGAGCGAACAGGAUUAGAUACCCGCGUAGUCC
This 292-nucleotide ribosomal RNA is filed under the name uncultured bacterium. RNAcentral's name for it is "partial 16S ribosomal RNA". It matches the Rfam family "Bacterial small subunit ribosomal RNA", at positions 505 to 796 of the family's 1533-position model. The record is from RNAcentral.